RNAcentral lists this ribosomal RNA (253 nucleotides) under uncultured bacterium. RNAcentral describes it as "partial 16S ribosomal RNA". It matches the Rfam family "Bacterial small subunit ribosomal RNA", at positions 524 to 776 of the family's 1533-position model. The record is from RNAcentral.
GACGAACCGUGCGAACGUUGUUCGGAAUCACUGGGCUUAAAGGGCGCGUAGGCGGGCGGCCAAGUCGGAGGUGAAAGCCUGCAGCUCAACUGCAGAAGUGCCCCCGAUACUGGUUGUCUCGAGGGAGGUAGGGGCAUGUGGAACUUCCGGUGGAGCGGUGAAAUGCGCAGAUAUCGGAAGGAACGCCGGUGGCGAAAGCGACGUGCUGGACCUCUACUGACGCUGAGGCGCGAAAGCCAGGGGAGCAAACGGG